Molecule: ribosomal RNA, 441 nt
Filed under: uncultured bacterium
Lineage: Bacteria
Description: bacterial SSU rRNA
Rfam family: Bacterial small subunit ribosomal RNA
Source: RNAcentral
AACGCGAAGAACCUUACCUGGCCUUGACAUCCUAGGAAUCCCGAAGAGAUUUGGGAGUGCCGCAAGGAGCCUAGAGACAGGUGCUGCAUGGCUGUCGUCAGCUCGUGUCGUGAGAUGUUGGGUUAAGUCCCGCAACGAGCGCAACCCUCGUCCUAUGUUGCCAGCGGGUCAUGCCGGGGACUCAUGGGAGACUGCCGGGGUCAACUCGGAGGAAGGUGGGGAUGACGUCAAGUCAUCAUGCCCCUUAUGUCUUGGGCUGCAAACAUGCUACAAUGGCCGGUACAGAGGGCUGCGAACUCGCGAGAGUAAGCGAAUCCCGGAAAGCCGGUCUCAGUUCGGAUCGGGGUCUGCAACUCGGCCCCGUGAAGCUGGAGUCGCUAGUAAUCGCGGAUCAGCAACGCCGCGGUGAAUACGUUCCCGGGCCUGUACACACCGCGCAUA